UUUAAAUCUCAGAAGUCAUAGGGCGUUAAAACCUUAUGGGUCUCUGGACUUGGAUCCCUCCGCCUCUGUACUCAUCUCGGUGGGUCGUUGAGGUGGUGGUCUCAAAUGUAGGACGCUGGACGUACGGGCUUACCCGACGACCAUUACUGCCGUUCUCUCAUCUCCAUUCACUUGGUGUAUUGGUUUUGCGCCAUUAGCUUCGGCUGGUGGUCUCAACAUUUCUACGCUUAGACGGAUGGGGGUGGCUAAGGAGAGUGGGCUACAGUGAUGGACGACCCGGGCCGUCGGACGGUUGCUUGGAUCAUACUCUCUUGGACGUCAAACCUCCAAGGUGUAUUACCCCAAUUCAAA
Molecule: unclassified non-coding RNA, 351 nt
Filed under: uncultured Piptocephalidaceae
Lineage: Eukaryota; Fungi; Zoopagomycota; Zoopagomycetes; Zoopagales; Piptocephalidaceae
Description: sequence contains ITS2
Source: RNAcentral